This 449-nucleotide ribosomal RNA is filed under the name uncultured bacterium. Its description in RNAcentral is "partial 16S ribosomal RNA". It matches the Rfam family "Bacterial small subunit ribosomal RNA", at positions 29 to 523 of the family's 1533-position model. The record is from RNAcentral.
AAUGAACGCUGGCGGCAUGCCUGACACAUGCGAGUCGAACGAAGGCUUCGGCCUUAGUGGCGCACGGGUGCGUAACGCGUGGGAAUCUGCCCUCAGGUUCGGAAUAACAGCGAGAAAUUGCUGCUAAUACCGGAUGAUAUCGCGAGAUCAAAGAUUUAUCGCCUGAGGAUGAGCCCGCGUAGGAUUAGCUAGUUGGUGUGGUAAAGGCGCACCAAGGCGACGAUCCUUAGCUGGUCUGAGAGGAUGAUCAGCCACACUGGGACUGAGACACGGCCCAGACUCCUACGGGAGGCAGCAGUGGGGAAUAUUGGACAAUGGGCGAAAGCCUGAUCCAGCAAUGCCGCGUGAGUGAUGAAGGCCUUAGGGUUGUAAAGCUCUUUUACCCGGGAUGAUAAUGACAGUACCGGGAGAAUAAGCUCCGGCUAACUCCGUGCCAGCAGCCGCGGUAA